AUACGGAGGAUGCGAGCGUUAUCCGGAUUUAUUGGGCUUAAAGGGUGCGUAGGCUGUGCGUUAAGUCAGGGGUGAAAUGCCGUCGCUCAACGACGGAGCUGCCCUUGAUACUGGCGUGCUGGAGUACGGAUGCCGUUGGAGGAAUGAGUGGUGUAGCGGUGAAAUGCUUAGAUAUCACUCAGAACACCGAUUGCGAAGGCAUCUGACGAAUCCGUCACUGACGCUGAGGCACGAAAGCGUGGGGAUAGAACAGGAUUAGAUACCCGGGUAUUCCACGCCGUAAACGAUGAUGACUAACCGUCGGCGAUAGACAGCCGGUGGCCAAGCGAAAGCGAUAAGUCAUCCACCUGGGGAGUACGUCGGCAACGAUGAAACUCAAAUGAAUUGACGGGG
This 393-nucleotide ribosomal RNA is filed under the name uncultured bacterium. RNAcentral's name for it is "partial 16S ribosomal RNA". It matches the Rfam family "Bacterial small subunit ribosomal RNA", at positions 523 to 918 of the family's 1533-position model. The record is from RNAcentral.